This 255-nucleotide ribosomal RNA is filed under the name Pseudomonas sp. 72_b. RNAcentral describes it as "partial 16S ribosomal RNA". It matches the Rfam family "Bacterial small subunit ribosomal RNA", at positions 60 to 312 of the family's 1533-position model. The record is from RNAcentral. Lineage: Bacteria; Pseudomonadati; Pseudomonadota; Gammaproteobacteria; Pseudomonadales; Pseudomonadaceae.
AUGCAGUCGAGCGGAUGAGAGGAGCUUGCUCCUUAAUUCAGCGGCGGNACGGGUGAGUAAUGCCUAGGAAUCUGCCUGGUAGUGGGGGACAACGUUUCGAAAGGAACGCUAAUACCGCAUACGUCCUACGGGAGAAAGCAGGGGACCUUCGGGCCUUGCGCUAUCAGAUGAGCCUAGGUCGGAUUAGCUAGUUGGUGAGGUAAUGGCUCACCAAGGCGACGAUCCGUAACUGGUCUGAGAGGAUGAUCAGUCACA